ACUUGGAUAUCUUAUGUAGAGUACAACACUGAAGAUGUUGUUGAGGCUGUUAUGCCUUCAGGUG
RNAcentral lists this transfer RNA (64 nucleotides) under Cryptotermes parvifrons. RNAcentral's name for it is "tRNA-Phe". The record is from RNAcentral. Lineage: Eukaryota; Metazoa; Arthropoda; Insecta; Blattodea; Kalotermitidae.